UGCAAGUCGAACGGUAACAGGGAGCUUGCUCCGCUGACGAGUGGCGAACGGGUGAGUAAUGCGUCGGAACGUGCCGAGUAGUGGGGGAUAACGCAGCGAAAGUUGUGCUAAUACCGCAUACGUACUGAGGUAGAAAGUGGGGGACCUUCGGGCCUCACGCUAUUCGAGCGGCCGACGUCUGAUUAGCUAGUAGGUGAGGUAAAGGCUCACCUAGGCGACGAUCAGUAGCGGGUCUGAGAGGAUGAUCCGCCACACUGGGACUGAGACACGGCCCAGACUCCUACGGGAGGCAGCAGUGGGGAAUUUUGGACAAUGGGCGAAAGCCUGAUCCAGCCAUGCCGCGUGUCUGAAGAAGGCCUUCGGGUUGUAAAGGACUUUUGUCAGGGAGGAAAUCCCCAGCGCUAAUACCGCUGGGGGAUGACAGUACCUGAAAAAUAAGCACCGGCUAACUACGUGCCAGCAGCCGCGGUAAUACGUAGGGUGCAAGCGUUAAUCGGAAUUACUGGGCGUAAAGCGUGCGCAGGCGGUUUGAUAAGCCAGAUGUGAAAUCCCCGAGCUCAACUUGGGAACUGCGUUUGGAACUGUCAGACUAGAGUGCGUCAGAGGGGGGUGGAAUUCCGCGUGUAGCAGUGAAAUGCGUAGAGAUGCGGAGGAACACCGAUGGCGAAGCAGCCCCCUGGGAUGACACUGACGCUCAUGC
Molecule: ribosomal RNA, 700 nt
Filed under: uncultured bacterium
Lineage: Bacteria
Description: bacterial SSU rRNA
Rfam family: Bacterial small subunit ribosomal RNA
Source: RNAcentral